This 311-nucleotide unclassified non-coding RNA is filed under the name Peniophorella praetermissa. RNAcentral's name for it is "partial internal transcribed spacer region". The stretch from base 1 to 46 matches the Rfam family "Eukaryotic small subunit ribosomal RNA", at positions 1786 to 1831 of the family's 1831-position model. The record is from RNAcentral. Lineage: Eukaryota; Fungi; Basidiomycota; Agaricomycetes; Hymenochaetales.
AAGUCGUAACAAGGUUUCCGUAGGUGAACCUGCGGAAGGAUCAUUAACGAGUUUUGAAGUGGGUUUGAUGCUGGCCUUCCCAGGCAUGUGCUCGCCCUACUCUUCAUCCACUCACACCUGUGCACCUAUAAAUGCUGAAAGAUUCAUCCCCUAGACUUCGUCAGGGGUGCGGUUGAGGGAGACUUUGGCCGUUGGGUUGAAUCUUUGGUGUUUAACUUUUCUAUAAACUCUUGAAUGUUAUAGAAUGUCUUAUGGCCUACGGGCUUGUAUAAAUUAAAAUACAACUUUCAACAACGGAUCUCUUGGCUCUC